CGGGGGGCAGCAGUGGGGAAUUUUGGACAAUGGGCGCAAGCCUGAUCCAGCAAUGCCGCGUGAGUGAAGAAGGCCUUCGGGUUGUAAAGCUCUUUUGUCAGGGAAGAAACGCCAUCGCCUAAUACGAGGUGGUAAUGACGGUACCUGAAGAAUAAGCACCGGCUAACUACGUGCCAGCAGCCGCGGUAAUACGUAGGGUGCAAGCGUUAAUCGGAAUUACUGGGCGUAAAGCGUGCGCAGGCGGUUAUGUAAGACAGAUGUGAAAUGCCCGGGCUUAACCUGGGAACUGCAUUUGUGACUGCAUGGCUAGAGUUUGGCAGAGGGGGGUAGAAUUCCACGUGUAGCAGUGAAAUGCGUAGAUAUGUGGAGGAACACCGAUGGCGAAGGCAGCCCCCUGGGUCAAGACUGACGCUCAUGCACGAAAGCGUGGGGAGCAAACAGGAUUAGAUACCCUAGU
Molecule: ribosomal RNA, 457 nt
Filed under: uncultured Herminiimonas sp.
Lineage: Bacteria; Pseudomonadati; Pseudomonadota; Betaproteobacteria; Burkholderiales; Oxalobacteraceae
Description: bacterial SSU rRNA
Rfam family: Bacterial small subunit ribosomal RNA
Source: RNAcentral